Pangasianodon gigas (Mekong giant catfish) is the source of this 73-nucleotide non-coding RNA. The record is from the annotation of a GenBank genome assembly. NCBI's taxonomy places the organism in Eukaryota, Metazoa, Chordata, Actinopteri, Siluriformes, Pangasiidae.
AUGCCACAGACCUGGACAUAGAGCUACGUAACAGUGUUUAACAGCAACCUACAUGUAUAACCGUAUACAGCUA